AUAAUUAUAAUAGUUUCUUGAAGAAUACGACAUGUGAAUUGAUGAUCGUUUUUCCACAGGACGGGAGCAUAACAUAUGAUCUACGAAAGUUAGACGUAAGCAUUUUUGAUGAUGCAGAGUGUUUGGAAGAUUACGACAAUAAAACUAUAGGUAUAUUUGUAGACCCUGACAUUGAGUUGUGUGCUGGAUAUAGAAAAGGACAAAAGGGAGCUUGUCACGGUGAUUCUGGUGGACCCCUAAUCGUUGAUGGGGUGCAGUAUGGAAUCGUCUCGAGGGGCCAUGAUUGUGCGCAGAAAGAAUAUCCUACAGUUUACACCAGAGUUUCAAAAUUUCUUGACUGGAUCGAAAGCCAUAAAUGAUGGAAAUGUUAAAAAUGAGAAUAUGACUUGAUUAAAAUAAAAUGUUCCAACAUUCAGUUGUAUAACGAAAGUCUCUCUGAAACAAUUAUAUAAUAGAAUCCGUG
Long non-coding RNA from Leptinotarsa decemlineata (Colorado potato beetle), 463 nucleotides. NCBI's taxonomy places the organism in Eukaryota, Metazoa, Arthropoda, Insecta, Coleoptera, Chrysomelidae. The record is from RefSeq and is a predicted model, not a curated record.